Molecule: non-coding RNA, 70 nt
Organism: Salmo salar (Atlantic salmon)
Lineage: Eukaryota; Metazoa; Chordata; Actinopteri; Salmoniformes; Salmonidae
Source: Rfam
CUUUUAUUAAAUGAAGGCAUCCAUUGAAACCAAGCCUUUUGUGAGAGGGAUGUCUGAUGAAAUGUAAAAG